Molecule: ribosomal RNA, 253 nt
Filed under: uncultured bacterium
Lineage: Bacteria
Description: partial 16S ribosomal RNA
Rfam family: Bacterial small subunit ribosomal RNA
Source: RNAcentral
UACGAAGGGGGCUAGCGUUGUUCGGAAUUACUGGGCGUAAAGCGCGUGUAGGCGGUUGUUCAAGUCGGGUGUGAAAGCCUUGAGCUCAACUCAAGAAAUGCACUCGAUACUGGAUGACUAGAGGACCGGAGAGGAUAGUGGAAUUCCCAGUGUAGUGGUGAAAUACGUAGAGAUUGGGAAGAACGCCAGUGGCGAAGGCGGCUAUCUGGACGGUUUCUGACGCUAAGACGCGAAAGCGUGGGGAGCAAACAGG